This is a long non-coding RNA of Cotesia glomerata, 196 nucleotides long. RefSeq lists it as uncharacterized. Lineage: Eukaryota; Metazoa; Arthropoda; Insecta; Hymenoptera; Braconidae. The record is from RefSeq and is a predicted model, not a curated record. The transcript is spliced from 2 exons.
AAAUAGUACAAUUAUAUGUCAUAAAAUAUUGGCUGUUAUUAAAACCUCAAAUAUUUUUCUAAAAGCUAAGUAAAAAGUAAUUUAUAAUAAAAAGCUGAGAUAAUGAGGGAUAAACAAAAUCCUAAAGAGACAAAAACUCAAUCAUCAAAUUCAACCAAAAAAAAGUGUUGUGUUCCAAUGUGAAUAAUAAACUGAA